UCAUCUCUUUCCUAUUCUGAUCAUCGUGUCCCGUUUAGUUUACCCCUGACGUUGCUAGCGUACUUGCGAUCACUCAGGUCCAAGCACAUGCCUGCAUUCGACCUGGUCAUGUUAUUCUUCCUUUUACACUGAAGUACUGUAGAUGGCCAUCACUGUACUGCAACUUCCACACUCGUUUUGGGUAAGCAACUGCUCCAUCCGUUCCAAAUUACUAUUCGUUUUGACUUUUCUAGAUAUAUAACUUUUGCUAUGUACAUAGACAUAAUAUAUAUCUAGGUGCAUGUCAAAUGCUAUGUAUCUGGAAAAGCUAAAACCAAUAGUAAUUUGGGACGGAGGGAGUACUUAGUAAGUUGGGGAAGAAUACUUAUCAUUUAUCUACUUUUAUCUGAUCAUCUCCCUUUAAAUUGUUCUCAAAAAUAAUUGUAGCAUUUAUUGUAUCAAAAUAAAUAGUUGACUUCAUUUAGUUAAGAAAACGUAUGCACAGUCACAGUCUAGUUUUCAUAUCUUAUUAUUACUAAUUGGAGGCUUCUUUUGAAGCCUCCAGAUGAAGCCACCUAGGAUUCCUAGGUGGACAUUCUAGAAAAGAAGAGAAAUCCUAGAGAUUCUCACAAAAAAGCAAAACAUCUGGCCAUCAAUCAGUAGACUCAAAUCAUCAUAGCCAUUAGAUCUAUUAUGUUUUCUAAAAAAUUACCCACCAAUGCCAUUAUAAAAAUAGCCUAAAAUAACCCCUAAAUAUAUACCUAAAUUACCCACCUCUGCCAUUAUAUAAAAUUAACUAAAGAAACCUUCUAAUCUUCAUCAAAAUUACCCACUCAUGACAUUAUAACCAAUAUUUAAAAUAACCCCUAAAUUUGCAACUAAAUUGCCCACAAUAAUACUUAAAAAAACUUGAAAUAACCCCUAAAUUUGUAUCUAUACCCA
This 921-nucleotide long non-coding RNA is filed under the name Setaria viridis. RNAcentral's name for it is "long non-coding RNA (SVIR_LNC005163)". Lineage: Eukaryota; Viridiplantae; Streptophyta; Magnoliopsida; Poales; Poaceae. The record is from RNAcentral.